This 301-nucleotide ribosomal RNA is filed under the name uncultured bacterium. RNAcentral describes it as "partial 16S ribosomal RNA". It matches the Rfam family "Bacterial small subunit ribosomal RNA", at positions 509 to 807 of the family's 1533-position model. The record is from RNAcentral.
CAGUCGCCGCGGUAAUACGAAGGGUGCAAGCGUUACUCGGAAUUACUGGGCGUAAAGCGUGUGUAGGUGGUUGUUUAAGUCUGUCGUGAAAGCCCUGGGCUCAACCUGGGAAUUGCGAUGGAUACUGGGCGACUAGAGUGCGGUAGAGGAUAGUGGAAUUUCCGGUGUAGCAGUGAAAUGCGUAGAGAUCGGAAGGAACAUCUGUGGCGAAGGCGACUAUCUGGGCCAACACUGACACUGAGACACGAAAGCGUGGGGAGCAAACAGGAUUAGAUACCCGUGUAGUCCCUGUCUCUUAUAC